GGAACAAAUGGGGGCAGACUGAGCCACGAGCUUGAAGAGCCGGCUCUGCAUGAUUGUAUUAUCCCAAGAGACUCCGGCCCUGUUUCUCCCGCGCACAGAAGGGUUCUGUGCGCACUGAGGUUCAAAUGCAAGAAUAAUUGUGAACACAAAAGUACUAUUCCAAGGCAGAGACCACCGCCAUUCCUUGAACCUCACGGUAACUAUGUGCCAAGGUCCCUCCCUGAGGAAAUCCCCAUCAUGACAAGCACUCAGAGAAGUUGGUUGGUACAGAGUUUCUCUGCUGGUUACCCCAGGUGUGGUGUGGACCCCAGAAGGAUGACAGUUUGAAUCCAAGGGCAGUCCCCUUCCUGGCACAGCAAGCAAAAUAAAGUGAAGCCCCUGGAGGCUCAGGCUCCACAGCAAGACCACAGAGAAGACCAGCCCUCUCCCAUUGCCACAAAGACAAGAGAUAGCUUGAAAGAAGACAGCUAAAAGUGGACAAAGAUGAGCUGGGGGGCCCAUAGGAGAGGAUUCAUACCACCCAGCCCCCUGUGGCACCUUCUUCCAGCGUAAAAUCCCGCGAGACUGG
This 568-nucleotide long non-coding RNA is filed under the name Homo sapiens (human). RNAcentral's name for it is "HSALNT0291470". The record is from RNAcentral. Lineage: Eukaryota; Metazoa; Chordata; Mammalia; Primates; Hominidae.